This 92-nucleotide non-coding RNA is filed under the name Burkholderia sp. WP9. RNAcentral also lists the same sequence under 1 other name. The record is from RNAcentral. Lineage: Bacteria; Pseudomonadati; Pseudomonadota; Betaproteobacteria; Burkholderiales; Burkholderiaceae.
UUCUAUGGGCGGGCCUUGGUGAGGGUGCGUUCGCGCACGCCGGUUGCCUUCUGUACCGGUCUCUCAACCUUGUCAUGUGUCCGCCCACCCAU